Long non-coding RNA from Oncorhynchus tshawytscha (Chinook salmon), 2551 nucleotides. The record is from Ensembl. NCBI's taxonomy places the organism in Eukaryota, Metazoa, Chordata, Actinopteri, Salmoniformes, Salmonidae.
CGCUGUUGCUACCGAACUUGCAACAUUGCAUCAACAAGACUAUUCCUGGCCCCCAGAGUUUCUGCGCCAGUGAGCUCGGAACAGAAAGAUGUUUUUUUUACAACGUUUUUUAUGACUGGAUAUAUGGGAUCAUCAGAUCAUGAUAUUUUGCUCUUUCACAGGGCUUAGUGAUUAUCGAGGCCGGGAGUGUUGGAAAGAUUUUUUUAAAUACAGAGGAACUAUCGUUCGCAACGGAUGUUAAAAAAGCAGACUUCAUUGACUUGUGUGAGGCGAAGAAAAAAUGAGCGGUGUACGUGGUGAGUUAAGACAAUCAGAAAUCAGACAUUGCCAAAUGGGUACUUUCCUACAUAUGCAUGCAUUCUGGAGAGAGACGCACCGUGUCUUCGCCCCCCACCCCCUUCUUCUUGAUGUAACAUUUUAAAUUUUACCCAUGAUACAUUAUCUUCACACAUAUUUUAGACGCUUUUCACUGAGAGCCGCAACUCAGUCAGCUAGACCUAUUGCCACACGCACUACUCAAAUCGCGGGAAUCCCAAACACACUGGUGACUUGAAACAAUCCCGAUCCCCACAUUUUUAUCCCCCAAAUAUAAAAUAACUAAAAAUAAAUGAUAUAGGUAUAUAUUUAUAUAUUAUAUAUAUUUUUUGGGAGGGGCUUCCGCAUGUUAUUUUGGCAUUAAUACAUAUCACAUAUCAGUUUGCAAACAAUGUACAAAAAAAUACAUAUCAUUGAGUUAAUAAAGCACGUCUCAUUUUUUGUUUUCUUGAGGAAGGCAGCUCCAAAAUGCAGGUGUUUCAGCCUAGCUCCGUGCUUUCAGUGUUGGUUUGGCAAGACAGCAGAAAAUAGGAGCAUUGCACCGUGAUUGGCUCAGUGUUCUGUCACUCAUGGGGAAACUACGUCAUCGCCAAGUCUAAGUCCUUAGUAAGUGUAGACAUCGGAUAUCCAAUUGUUAUUGGGGAGGGGAAAAAAAGGGGUAAAAUUCAAAAAGCAAAAAAAAAAGUGUAGACAUUGGAAAAGUAAGCCCUUUGGGUCCUGCCAUAGAGUUCCAUUACAAGUGCCCUUCCAAGCGGGCUCAAGGUCAUUGGCCACAGAUACAAUUAUGUUAAAUCUUUUAUAUGUAUAGUAGCUUUGAUUGGUCAACAUCUUACUUUCAAAAUUUUAGCAAGCAGUCAUCAUUAAUCAAGUCAACAAUCUUCUGGCAAAUCCUUUUUAAUCCUUGUCAUAUGAAGAGAAAUAAUGAAGAGAACUAAUAGAUUAAAUGUAUCGGUGCUCAUCGGCCAUUGGACAUAAACAUUACACAACAAGUUGGAAAUCGCAAAUUCAACAAUGAGUGGUUUGGAAGGAAUCGGUGACCGUGGCAAACUGCAAGCAAUUGCAACUGGGAAGUGGGGAAUAAACAAGCUCCGACUGGGAAAAUACGUUUUGAACGGUCAUCCAACUUGGAAUAGUAAAUCCGGCUUCUUUCUGUUUGAUGACAAAAUUUGCCGAAGACCUUCCAGUUCAAGUGGGCACAUCACAACAAGGGGUUCUGCCAUGUUCCAAGACGGAGGGGAGGAGACAAGAUGACGACCAGUUUGAGCAAAAUUCAAGUCCCACUUCCGAGACUGGCUGCCUGUCGACAGGAAGAACUAGCAGCAGCACCUUCUGUCUCUUGAUUUAGCCUCUUCCCUCAUCCUUUAGUUAUUUCUCUACCCUCACUCCAGACAAAAUUCUGCAUCUAGUGGAGACCUCCUCCCAUUCCUUACCGCUCUCAUCAACCCCUCUGAUGCUAAAAAUUACAGACCGGUAUCCCUUUUUCCUCUUCUAUGUCUUCCAUUAACAUUAUUGCAUGGAUGUUCAAACAUUUAACUUAAAUCAAUCAAUAACUGUAUCUUUACAUACCUGAUCUACCUGUAACCUGUGUGCUUGCUGGUUUACGUCUCUGUCUCCUCCCCUAUUCUGUUAAACUCUGCUCCUUUUCUCUAAGACCUAUGGGUUCUGUCUAACACCCAGACGUGGAUCCACCUGAUGUCCUAACCACCCUCCAACUUUUCAUUGAAUCUACAGCUGUCAUGUUGUCAUUAUCUGCUUUGAACAUUUUGCUUGCCGUACUGAGCAUGUAUUAUGUGAGAUACACCAUAAACACUAGAACUGCAAGCACUCUGAACAAAGAGAGCAGCAGUGCCUGGACUUCGCAUUGUCCCUCUUCGAGUCUCCGUUCUCAGACUGGCUGCCUGUUGAGAACAAGUGACAGACAGUAUACAGUAUAUUCAACCACAAGGGUGUACUAAUGAGCUAUGCGAGAUAGAAAAUAAAUAAUCAUAAUAGAGGACUACUGAAAUAACAUCAUAUCAGUGUAUACAAGUCAAUGGGAGAAAAGCUAAAAGUAAAAACAUGCCAACCAGACAAGCCAGUGUAUGAAUCAAAUGGAUUUCCAUAUGAAUGAACUGGGAAUUAGCGGACUUUGUCAUCUGUAAGGUAAGGGACAUCAAUGUGUUCAUGUUUUCAUCUUAUUGGCUAAAAUAAACUAUUUUAAGCUACAAGUUUGUCGGGGAAAUCAGCUUUGUUCACA